RNAcentral lists this ribosomal RNA (265 nucleotides) under uncultured bacterium. RNAcentral's name for it is "partial 16S ribosomal RNA". It matches the Rfam family "Bacterial small subunit ribosomal RNA", at positions 793 to 1055 of the family's 1533-position model. The record is from RNAcentral.
GUCCACGCCGUAAACGAUGGAUACUAGCUGUUGGGAGCAAUCUCAGUGGCUAAGCGAAAGUGAUAAGUAUCCCACCUGGGGAGUACGUUCGCAAGAAUGAAACUCAAAAGGAAUUGGACGGGGGCCCGCACAAGCGGUGGAGCAUGUGGUUUAAUUCGAUGAUACGCGAGGAACCUUACCAAGGCUUAAAAUGUAGUUUGACCGUUUUUGGAAAACAGAAACUUUCGCAAGAACAAAAUUAACAAAGGUGCUGCAUGGUUGUCGU